RNAcentral lists this ribosomal RNA (366 nucleotides) under Triticum aestivum (bread wheat). Its description in RNAcentral is "partial small subunit ribosomal RNA". The record is from RNAcentral. Lineage: Eukaryota; Viridiplantae; Streptophyta; Magnoliopsida; Poales; Poaceae.
AUGUUCAUGAUUGCAAACCCAAUGGGUCCGGAGCUCCGAAGAAGUGGUAUACUUCUAUUGCAACUCACCAUAAAAUCCAAGGGACCACAAGAUCUUCCCGCCUCUAUGUCAGCGAGCCAGAAUGGAUCGGAGACUGUGAGAUUGCCGCACCUCUUCUUAGCUGAGCAGCCUCCCCCGUGCUCCUCCUUUGCCGUCACAGGCACCAAUGGCACCGACGAAAGCAAGACGAAGACUAAGGCCCUGUUCGGAGACCCGCCACUCCACCACUCCGCUUCCGGAGCUGGAGUUAAAAAGUACGGAGCUAGUAAACGGAUGCUCCAGCUCCUCGUAUUUUUAGGAGCUGGAGUGACUCCGAACAGGGCCUAA